UACGUAGUGUUCGAGCGUUAAUCGGAAUUACUGGGCGUAAAGCGUGCGCAGGCGGUUAUAUAAGACAGAUGUGAAAUCCCCGGGCUCAACCUGGGCACUGCAUUUGUGACUGUAUAGCUAGAGUACGGUAGAGGGGGAUGGAAUUCCGCGUGUAGCAGUGAAAUGCGUAGAUAUGCGGAGGAACACCGAUGGCGAAGGCAAUCCCCUGGACCUGUACUGACGCUCAUGAACGAAAGCUUGGGGAGCAAACAGUAUGAGAUACCCGCGUAGUCC
Molecule: ribosomal RNA, 273 nt
Filed under: uncultured bacterium
Lineage: Bacteria
Description: partial 16S ribosomal RNA
Rfam family: Bacterial small subunit ribosomal RNA
Source: RNAcentral